ACUCUUCAACCCACCUAUUUCUUGUAAAUUGUUGUGGUGUUUGGAUUUUGAAUGUCUGCUGGCCUUUUUGGCGAAGCUCAUUCGUAAUGCAUUAGCAUCUCAAAUUCGUUUUUCGGAUUGACUCAGCGUGAUAGACUUUCUUCGCUGAGGACAUUAGUUUUUCUAAUGGCCGAUUUUCGUAAAGUAGAAGCUUCUAAUCAAGUCAACUUUUGAUU
This 215-nucleotide unclassified non-coding RNA is filed under the name Slooffia cresolica. RNAcentral's name for it is "ITS 2". Lineage: Eukaryota; Fungi; Basidiomycota; Microbotryomycetes; Chrysozymaceae. The record is from RNAcentral.